RNAcentral lists this unclassified non-coding RNA (793 nucleotides) under Hevea brasiliensis (rubber tree). The record is from RNAcentral. Lineage: Eukaryota; Viridiplantae; Streptophyta; Magnoliopsida; Malpighiales; Euphorbiaceae.
UUUUUUUUUUUCCGGGGAAAAUCGUUUUCGGUGCUUCGCGAUUGCUAUGUGCGACUGUCGGUGGUUAGAGAUCAGUUUUGUCUAGCAGUGGCGGAUUUCUGAAGAUUGCGGUUCUGGUGGUGUGUUAGAGAUGGAUCGGGAAGGAGGAUCCAACGGCGGAUCUUGCUACUACUCUGUUCUGGGGAUUCGCAGGGACGCCUCCUUCUCUGAUAUCCGCACUGCUUAUCGCAAACUCGCUAUGAAAUGGCAUCCAGACAAGUGGGCCCGAAAUCCGGGGGUGGCCGGAGAGGCAAAACGGCGGGUUCAGCAAAUCCAAGAAGCGUACUCCGUUCUCUCAGACGAAGCAAAGAGGUCAAUGUACGAUGCUGGGCUUUAUGAUCCUCUGGAGGGAGAAGAUGAAGACUUUUGUGACUUCAUGCAAGAGAUGAUUUCCAUGAUGAACAAUGUGAAAGACGAGGGAGACAGUUUUGAAGAUCUUCAAAGGAUGUUCGUGGAGAUGGUCGGUGGAGAUGAAGUGAGCUUUGACCUUAAUGGAGAUCCAACGGAUAGAAAGAGGGCACGCGUUAAUUCAUCAAAAGGUAAUGCGGCUAAGCGCAACACGUCUCGCUGCUGACGCACUUUACUGGAUCAAUCAUUCAUUCAAAGCCCAUUGGAUUGGAAGCUAUCCCGGGCUUGUGAUGUGUAACUUGGGGGGGCGCCACGCACCGGAUAGUUUAGAUAAGUUAGGCUUAUUAUUAUUAUUAUUGCUAUCGUGACAGGUUCAGAAGCUUUAUGAUAUGAUAGAUGGAAUAAA